GCUCAUUUCUUUUCUUCUUCUCUCUAUACGUUGGUGUUCUAACCAAUAAUCACCGAUGCGAUGUUCUGUCCGAUCGAUUCAGGAACCAACUAACGGAUGCCAAAGUGCUAUACUUUGAGAGUUCGUUAAACGGAUGCCAAAGUGCUAUACUUUGUGAUUUCGGUAAACGGAAUCCAAAGUGUUACACUUUGUGAAAUUCGUUAAGGUUCGAAUCUCGUGACUACCGUUAAGGUUUGAUUUGGGUUUUACACAAAUACGUAUUCCAUUCUGUUAAACUAUAUGUUUAACUACCAAAAAUACUCCCAACUACACACUCACAAUCAAACAAACUAUUAAAUCAUCAGAAGAUCCAGAAUAAUAAAGUGCAUGCUUAAUUAUCGGAAGAAGUAGAAUCAAGAAGCUUGUUAACUCAAUCUUGGAUGCUUAUAAAGUUGCAUUUUAAAAACUUUGGAACGGUUGGAAUAGGAGAACCCAUGGGAAAUUCGAGUACUUAGCGGCGUUCUUUUUCUAGAAGUCUUAGCUUAUUUGCUUCCGCUGUGCAAUGAAGAUACCGGUCCAGUCACGCCAAGCUCUGAUAUUUCGGGGUGUGACACAUAUCAUGGAUAAACUCACUACAAAGGUCGGGGCUGCC
RNAcentral lists this long non-coding RNA (631 nucleotides) under Helianthus annuus (common sunflower). Its description in RNAcentral is "hypothetical non coding rna". The record is from RNAcentral. Lineage: Eukaryota; Viridiplantae; Streptophyta; Magnoliopsida; Asterales; Asteraceae.